This is a long non-coding RNA of Culex pipiens pallens (northern house mosquito), 763 nucleotides long. RefSeq lists it as uncharacterized. The record is from RefSeq and is a predicted model, not a curated record. Lineage: Eukaryota; Metazoa; Arthropoda; Insecta; Diptera; Culicidae. The transcript has 2 exons.
AUGCAAGGGGAAAACCACUCUGCACAGUGCCCCUGAGCAGGCUGUGCCUUGAAGGUGCCCAACGUGCCCGAAGGUGCCCGAUUAAAGGUGCCCUGAGGCAAAAAUCAACAAUCGGUGGGUGAUGCUAAGCAACCAUUAUAUUAGAAAUGUUUACAUUUUUUUGAACGGUGGUAGCGAGUCGAUUCCAACUGCAGGCAAAAUUGUGCUAGGAACUACGGAACAAGGACAAGAAGGAGAUGACCAAGCAGCUCGAGUAGCUCACCUGAGCUGCUAAAGUUGUUCGUGGCUGAGGCCACAGAGUGGUGCUUGCUGUCUAAAAUCAGCGUUGUCCGCAAGGCCAUCUCCCGGGUGUCCAUGAAAAAGGCAGAGGAGAACCAAGAACUGCGUGUCCCUGGAUAUACGUAACAAAAAGACGUACCCCGUGCGUAUGGCCCUGAGCAGCCAAAGCGCGCCAAGAUCCAAGAGCAUAAGCGCGGCGUCAAGGCUUAAACACGUCGGUCAAGUUUACUUUUUCCUUCAACAAAAAAUCGCUGGAAUCGUGAAAAUAUUGUCUGUGCGAGACAGCCGUUUAUCCGCCGAAAACAAGGACCGCAUCCUUAAGGACCGCGGCCUCGGUGCAGAGAACACGCCCUUCCGCUCUGAAUUUUGGAUUAGAGAGGGAUGCAAGAUGUUUUCCUUCGAAACAAGAUGAAAAUUUUAUAAAUGUAUUGUUUUGUAAACUCAGUGAAAUAAAAUCGUGAAUAAAAAUGUAUUUUUAGUUGGA